RNAcentral lists this ribosomal RNA (279 nucleotides) under uncultured bacterium. Its description in RNAcentral is "partial 16S ribosomal RNA". It matches the Rfam family "Bacterial small subunit ribosomal RNA", at positions 506 to 784 of the family's 1533-position model. The record is from RNAcentral.
UGCCAGCCGCCGCGGUAAUACGAAGGGUGCUAGCGUUGUUCGGAAUCACUGGGCAUAAAGCGCACGUAGGCGGUUCGUCAAGUCAGGUGUGAAAUCCCUCGGCUCAACCGGGGAACUGCAUCUGAUACUGGCGAGCUCGAGGAUGGUAGGGGUGAGCGGAACUCCAGGUGGAGCGGUGAAAUGCGUAGAUAUCUGGAGGAACACCGGUGGCGAAGGCGGCUCACUGGACCAUCUCUGACGCUGAGGUACGAAAGCGUGGGGAGCGAACAGGAUUAGAUA